UACGGAGGAUGCGAGCGUUAUCCGGAUUUAUUGGGUUUAAAGGGUGCGUAGGCGGCCUUGUAAGUCAGCGGUGAAAUUUUGCAGCUUAACUGUAAAAGUGCCGUUGAUACUGUGAGGCUAGGAUUCGGUUGCUGUGGGUGGAAUGUGUGGUGUAGCGGUGAAAUGCUUAGAGAUCACACAGAAUAUCGAUUGCGAAGGCAGCUCACAAAGCCAAGAUUGACGCUGAGGCACGAAAGUGUGGGGAUCAAACAGGAUUA
This 257-nucleotide ribosomal RNA is filed under the name uncultured prokaryote. RNAcentral's name for it is "partial 16S ribosomal RNA". It matches the Rfam family "Bacterial small subunit ribosomal RNA", at positions 524 to 780 of the family's 1533-position model. The record is from RNAcentral.